This 5189-nucleotide long non-coding RNA is filed under the name Sus scrofa (pig). RNAcentral's name for it is "lncRNA (ENSSSCG00000054335.1)". The record is from RNAcentral. Lineage: Eukaryota; Metazoa; Chordata; Mammalia; Artiodactyla; Suidae.
CCCCUCUCUCACUGUGCUUCUCACGGAGCCCCUGCUCCAUCUUAUCCACCUGCAGACCGACUUCUUCCAUCUCUGACCCCGUUAUGGAAGGGAGUGGGGCUGCCGAGAACAAUCCUUCCCCCGCCCCAAUGUUGGAUAUUCUUUCGCAGUUUUAAUUUCAAGGAUCCUUGGAGGGUCUAGAAUGGGCUCCACGAGGCUCAAGUGCCCGUCCCCAGGCCUGCCGCCUGUGGUCAGGACUCACCUUGGACUUGCGGAGUGACUCCCUCGAUGACCAUGUAAAAGGUGGGAGAGAUGGGAGGACAAUCCCAGAGACUCUGUCAUAAUCAUCUCGUGCCCAUGAGGGAAUGAGGGGUGACAGGCGAGGAGAAGGGCAUUCUCCUUGUGAUUCCACGGACUUGACUCUGCCCAGCGUUUUCCAGGGAGACUUGUCUCUGUGACCUCACCCUUUCCUCCUGAGGAUUCUCUGAGGAUACUGCUAGAUCUUUCAGGAGAUGGUGGUUAACAGAGUUGGAUACAGGAACAUGGUCCAGUCCCUGCCCUCAAGAGACUCCAGACUGGUCAGUGAGACAGAUACGGACAGAACUCAACAGGGCUCCCAAGGACCUCAGCUGUUACACUCACUGUGUACCAGUUACCUAGGCAUGGGCUUCUUGCGUUAUCUAGGCUGUGUCUAGACCUCCACCAGGCUCCGGACCCUAGUUCUUCUGACACUGCAUGGAUGUGGCAGGUAAGUGAUGGAAUAAACUUUCCUCCGUUCAGAAUGAGGGGAGUGCCAAAGAGCUGGCUGCUUUGAAGAGGGAAGAGCUUGGCUCUUUCCAACUGGAGGACUGGGAAAGUCAUCCCAGAUGUGGUACCACUGAGCUGUGUGGAGAGGGGUCUGCAGAUGGGGAGGAGGGAAGUCAAUGAGAAGCAGAAAGGUGGGACUCCAACUCCCCCUGGUACUUCUGUCCCUGGCCGGGGCUCUGACCACUUAGGAUACUCCCUAGAGCACAAUCUAAAUGAGAACAAUGAAAUCCGAGCUGUCCCAAGAAGUCAGCACCUGUUUGGUGUCCUGCACGCCUUUCAGGCCCUUUGUGUAUUUCUAAGUAGACAAUCUCAUUCAUUUUCACAACAGACACUAAGAGACCAGGAGGGGAGGAUGGGCUUAGGAGGAGCCCUGGGCAGGAGUGUCUGAAAGCAGGUGGGAGGCAAGCCUCUGAGGUUUCAACCAGCCUCCCAGCCAUUUCUCCCAGCAACACACCAUGUGCCCCUGGGCAAGUCUUCUCCCUUUGCUGUGACCCAAGGUCUUCUUUAUAGCAAGAGGACAUGGGAUUCAGUUACCACUGCAGUACCUUCUAGCUCUAACAUCGCAUGCUCCCUACUGUGCCCUACAGGAAGUGCCCAGUUCCUAAGAAGGAUGGUGGUUGGCCUGAGUUCUUCAGCAAGUUGGAGAAGUUUCUGGAAGAUACACCCAUUGUGAGCAGUAGGAGGAUGAGAUCCGUGUUUUCAUGUUUACCACGGUGAGAGGUAGAUGCUCAGGGGAGAUGCUGAAUGAAUCAGUGCAAGUUUCCAGACUCCUGAGUUCGCACAUGCCAUGGAUUGAUGUGUCCCCUCCCUCCAGAUUCAUACCUUGAAAUCCUAACUCCCAAUGUGACAGUAUUAGAGGUGGCAUCUUGGGAGAGUAAUUAGGUCAUAAAGAUGGAGCCCUUAUGAAUGGGAUCGGUGCCCAAAUCAAAGGGACCCUCUUUCCACCGUGUGGAGGACACGAUGAGAAGACCAUGGUUGGCACGCUGGAAGGGGACCCUCGCCCAACCAUGCUUGCCCUCUGCAUCUCAAGCUUCCAGCCUUCAGAACUGUGAGAAAUACAUUUCUGUAGUUUAGAAGCCACCUGAUCGAGGUACUUUUUCAUAGCAGGCUGAGCCAGCUGAAACAUAUCGAUUCCAGCGCCUGCUGCCUUUCUGUUGAGCUUUCAGGGAGAAGCCCUUCACUUCCUCACCAGGACAAUCUGUUCCUCGGUGGGGAUUAAACACUGUUUUAUAAUUGAUAUCAUAACUGACCCUGGAGCGAGAAGUUGGGACUUACCUUCAAUCUCCCAUGAGGAUCUGGAGCCAGUGCAGCUCACAGGAGACGCAGGGCUGCAGUGCAGAGGAAACCAUUCAACGUGUGUAUGUGAAAAAACUUCCAAGCUAUGGGACAGCACAGGUGAGUGGUUUUGCAUCUUUUUUUUUUUUUUUUUCCUUUUUGUAACCACACCUGCAGCAUAUGGAAGUUCUCGGGUCAGGAGUGGAAUCAGAGCUGCAGCUGCCGGCCUACACCACAGCCAUGGCAAUGCCAGAUCCGAGCCACAUCCGAGACCUACAUCACAGCUUGUUUCAAUGCUGGAUCCUUAAUCCACUGAGCGAGGCCAGGGAUUGAUUGAACCACAUCCUCAUGGAUACUCGUUGGGGUCUUAACCCACUGAGAUACCACGGGAACUCCGGGUGGGUUUGCAUCUUAAGGACUAAAUGCUGUUGGGUUUUCCAGAGAAUGGCAGCACUGUGGAGAUGGCUCUAGGAGAGGAGAGCAGGUUCAUGUGGCCAGAGGGCUGCCGAGCACAGGAGGCAGGAGCCAGGGAGCCCAGGGGUAGGGUGAUCCUGGCUCUAUACCAAGGGCGACGCAAUAUUUCCGAAGGUUCAUUGGGAUGAACUCAGGCCAAGGUCAGCCUAUAAACAGGAGAAUCUUCUUUCCUAUUUCAGCUAGAUUUUCUUUAUUUGCAUUCAUAUAUUUGCUGGUUCACUCGUCACAAGAUUUCCGGCAGCACCUUUGCAGCAUGAAAGAAUGACCCUUUCUCUUCUAGAGAAAGAUCCUUAAUCUUUAAUUCAGGGGCUUUCAAACUUUUCUGAACAUGACCUGCUCUGAAAAAAUACAUUUUACAUCAGGAUCUAGUGCAAAUGAACAUGGAUAAUACUGAAACAAGAGCUUCAAACACCAAAAGCUUGCCCUUAAUGUAUGUGAUGUGUGCCUCUUUUUUUGGGGGGGGCUGCACCCUCAGAAGUUCCAAGGCUAAGGGUCAAAUUGGAGCUCUAGCUGCUUCACACAGCCACAGCCACAGCAAUGCCAGAUCCUUAUUCUCCUGAGCCAAGGAUCGACCCUGCAUCCUCACGGAUACUAGUUGGGUUCGUUACCACUGACCCAUCAUCAGAACUCCUGUGAUGUAUUUUUUUUUUUUUUUUUUUUUGUCUUUUGUCUUUUUAGGGCCACACCUGUGGCACAUGGAGAUUCCCAGGCUAGGGGUCUAAUCGGAGCUGCAGCCUAAAUCACAGCCACAGCAAUGCCAGAUCUGAUCCGCAUCUUCGACCUACACCACAGCUCACAGCAACGUCAGAUCCUUAACCCACUGCAACCUCAUGGUUCCUAGUCGGAUUCAUUUCUGCUGUGACGACAGCGGAACUCCAUGUGAUUCAUUCCUAACACAAUGGUUCCCAAGAUGUGGUCCUGAAUCAGCAGCAGCAACAGCACCUGGGAACUUGUUAGCAAUGCAAAUUCUCAGGCUCCACCCUCCGUUCUCAGAACACCCUCCAGAAGUUCUGGCUGCUUUAUUAAGCCUUUCCAAGUGUUUCUGAGGCAUGCUAAAGCUGGAGAAAAACAAUAUCAUAUACUUGUCUAUUUCAUUUUUAAAAAAGUGUUAUUUGGGGCCCACGCCUUGGGGACUUAACAUUACCUUUCGACUUUAGAAAACCUCGGAGGCUGCCCCCAGGCUUUCUUCCUUCUCCCCUUUCCAAAACCAUCCCCACCCUCUGCUCUUGAAAACCCCAACCAGACCCACGUCCUUUCCCCUUCUCGACUCCAGCCCUCUGUGUUAGACACUCCUGCUGGAAGCCUUCCUUCUCCGCACUCGCAGAGCUGGUUCAAGCCCCAUGAGGGUUCUUGGCUCCGAUGCCCUUCCCCUCAGAGACACUGUCCCAACGGGGCUGUUCUUUCGUCAUUGCCCUCAGCACCCUCGACACUUGUCUGCCUCCAGUUGACCGAAGCUUCAUCCAACAAUGCCUGGCAUAUAGUGGGUCCUCGAUACAUACUUGUUGAGGAAAAGAAGAAAUUAAUGAUUGACUCUCCACCAGACAUAUCUGGGAAGACAUCAUAAUCACCAGAGCAGUAUUUGGAAUCCAUAAAGCCCCGCUCGCCUCUCGGACCUGGCGCUUCCCAGUGAGAAUCCUUGUCACUGUUUUGGAAGGUGAGAAAAAGACGUGGCGCAUCCCCUGUCUGAGGUUCCUUGGCUUGCCAGCCCUCCGCCAUUCUGGUGGGUAAUAUUUUCAUCAGGGAAAUGUGGAAGGAAGAGCACCAGCCUCAAGUUAGGGCACUUGGGUUCAAGGCAGGGUUCACAGCCUGGCUCUUAGGAAAGCCCAUCGUGUCUUCAGCCUCAAUACCACUGGGGUCACAAAACCCGUAUAAACUCCCUUGUAGCACUGUCAAGGGACAACUAGGAGGCGACUUACGAACAUGCCACUUGCUAUAAAGGAGUCACAGCCUUUGCUAAUUUUUUUUUCUCCGUUUUGGCAGCACCAGCAGCAUAUGGAAAUUCCCGGGCCAGGGAUCGAACCCGAGCCACAGCUGCAACCUAUACCACAGUUUGUGGCAACACCAAAUCCUUAGCCCACUGAGGGAGGCCAGGGAUUGCACCUGCAUCCUCACAGACAUGGUGUGGGUUCUUAACUCUCUGAGCCACAACGGGAACUCCCAAAGAUCCACAGCCCUAACCUCUAAGGUACUGACCCAUAAGCCAUAUUUGUAACCUUACCCACCGCCCUCCCAAGGAAGCUGCCAGGAGUGUGGGGCUGGAAGUCCCUGGUGAGAGCGAACAAACCUGAAAAUACCUGCAUGGCUCCUAGAAAGAGUCCUGAGCCUCAGGGUCUAAAGGAGGGCUUUGGCGAUUUGCAUACUGAUUUGCAUAUCCUUUGCCGGCCCUGGGAGGCUGGUGGCUGAUCCCUCCUCCUCCAGCCCUCCUCGGCCUCUACACCUCCCGACUGGAGCCCAGCCUGGAAAAAUGGUGGGUUGGGCCCCGCCUGCAUUCCCCCCCCCCAACUCGCUGCCCCCACUGCCUUCCCCCACCUCCCGGAAGCUGGGAUGUGGGCAAAUGUCAUCGUGCAGAGAGCUCUAGGGCCACACUGCCUGAUGGAUGGCAGGCCUUAAGCGUGACUGAGCUUUCACAGCUAAAACCAUUAAAGGUUAUUCUC